UUGACCUCGGAUCAGGUAGGGAUACCCGCUGAACUUAAGCAUAUCAAUAAGCGGAGGAAAAGAAACCAACAGGGAUUGCCUCAGUAACGGCGAGUGAAGCGGCAACAGCUCAAAUUUGAAACCUGCCAACCGGCCGGAUUGUAAUUUGUAGAGGAUGCUUUGGAGUAGGCACUGAUCUAAGUUUCUUGGAACAGUACGUCACAGAGGGUGAGAAUCCCGUUCGUGGUCGGCUGCCUGCUUCGUGUAAAGCUCCUUCGACGAGUCGAGUUGUUUGGGAAUGCAGCUCAAAAUGGGUGGUAAAUUUCAUCUAAAGCUAAAUAUUGGCCAGAGACCGAUAGCGCACAAGUAGAGUGAUCGAAAGAUGAAAAGCACUUUGGAAAGAGAGUUAAACAGCACGUGAAAUUGUUGAAAGGGAAGCGCUUGCAAUCAGACUUGCGCGUAGGUAAUCAAGGGCGGUUCGCUGCCCUGCACUUGCCUGCGCUCAGGCCAGCAUCAGUUUUGGGGGUGGGAUAAAGGCCGUGGGAAUGUGG
RNAcentral lists this ribosomal RNA (530 nucleotides) under Pilidium concavum. RNAcentral's name for it is "eukaryotic LSU rRNA". It matches the Rfam family "Eukaryotic large subunit ribosomal RNA", at positions 1 to 539 of the family's 3401-position model. The record is from RNAcentral. Lineage: Eukaryota; Fungi; Ascomycota; Leotiomycetes; Chaetomellales; Chaetomellaceae.